CGGGACGUGGCGGGGGGCCAAAAACAUGCAAGUCGAGGCGGAUGAGGGGAGCUUGCUCCUGGAUUCAGCGGCGGACGGGUGAGUAAUGCCUAGGAAUCUGCCUGGUAGUGGGGGAUAACGUCCGGAAACGGGCGCUAAUACCGCAUACGUCCUGAGGGAAAAAGUGGGGGAUCUUCGGACCUCACGCUAUCAGAUGAGCCUAGGUCGGAUUAGCUAGUUGGUGGGGUAAAGGCCUACCAAGGCGACAAUCCGUAACUGGUCUGAGAGGAUGAUCAGUCACACUGGAACUGAAACACGGUCCAAACUCCUACGGGAGGCAGCAGUGGGGAAUAUUGGACAAUGGGCGAAAGCCUGAUCCAGCCAUGCCGCGUGUGUGAAAAAGGUCUUCGGAUUGUAAAGCACUUUAAGUUGGGAGGAAGGGCAGUAAGUUAAUACCUUGCUGUUUUGACGUUACCAACAAAAUAAGCACCGGCUAACUUCGUGCCAGCAGCCGCGGUAAUACGAAGGGUGCAAGCGUUAAUCGGAAUUACUGGGCGUAAAGCGCGCGUAGGUGGUUCAGCAAGUUGGAUGUGAAAUCCCCGGGCUCAACCUGGGAACUGCAUCCAAAACUACUGAGCUAGAGUACGGUAGAGGGUGGUGGAAUUUCCUGUGUAGCGGUGAAAUGCGUAGAUAUAGGAAGGAACACCAGUGGCGAAGGCGACCACCUGGACUGAUACUGACACUGAGGUGCGAAGCGUGGGGAGCAAACAAGGAUUAGAUACCCUGGUAGUCCACGCCGUAACGAUGUCGACUACCCGUUGGGAUCCCUUGAGAUCUUAGUGGCGCAGCUUAACGCGAUAAAUCCACCGCCUGGGGAGAUACGGGCCGCAAGGU
RNAcentral lists this ribosomal RNA (873 nucleotides) under Pseudomonas aeruginosa. Its description in RNAcentral is "bacterial SSU rRNA". It matches the Rfam family "Bacterial small subunit ribosomal RNA", at positions 29 to 894 of the family's 1533-position model. The record is from RNAcentral. Lineage: Bacteria; Pseudomonadati; Pseudomonadota; Gammaproteobacteria; Pseudomonadales; Pseudomonadaceae.